This 253-nucleotide ribosomal RNA is filed under the name uncultured bacterium. Its description in RNAcentral is "partial 16S ribosomal RNA". It matches the Rfam family "Bacterial small subunit ribosomal RNA", at positions 524 to 776 of the family's 1533-position model. The record is from RNAcentral.
GACGAACCGUGCAAACGUUGUUCGGAAUCACUGGGCUUAAAGGGCGCGUAGGCGGGCUCGCCAGUCAGGGGUGAAAGCCCACGGCUCAACCGUGGAAGUGCCUUUGAUACUGCGAGUCUCGAGGGAGGUAGGGGCGUGCGGAACUUCCGGUGGAGCGGUGAAAUGCGUAGAUAUCGGAAGGAACACCGGUGGCGAAAGCGGCGCGCUGGACCUCUUCUGACGCUGAGGCGCGAAAGCCAGGGGAGCAAACGGG